Dipodomys spectabilis (banner-tailed kangaroo rat) is the source of this 107-nucleotide small nuclear RNA. NCBI's taxonomy places the organism in Eukaryota, Metazoa, Chordata, Mammalia, Rodentia, Heteromyidae. The record is from RefSeq and is a predicted model, not a curated record.
GUGUUCUCUUUGGAAGCACACAUACUAAACUAGCAAUGACACAGAAAAGAUUAGCAUGGCUCCUGUGCAAAGAUGACCCACAAAUUUGUCUAGUGUUCCAUAUUUAA